GUGGGGAAUCUUGCGCAAUGGCCGCAAGGCUGACGCAGCGACGCCGCGUGUGGGAUGACGGUCUUCGGAUUGUAAACCACUGUCAGGGGGAACGAAUACCAGGCGUCGAAUAGGCGACCUGGGGUGACGGUACCUCCAAAGGAAGCACCGGCUAACUCCGUGCCAGCAGCCGCGGUAAUACGGAGGGUGCGAGCGUUGUCCGGAAUCACUGGGCGUAAAGGGCGCGUAGGUGGUUCGGUAAGUAGCUGGUGAAAUCCCGGGGCUCAACUCCGGGGCUGCCGGCCAGACUGCCGGACUUGAGCACGGUAGGGGCAGAUGGAAUUCCCGGUGUAGCGGUGGAAUGCGUAGAGAUCGGGAAGAAUACCAGUGGCGAAGGCGUUCUGCUGGGCCGUUGCUGACACUGAGGCGCGACAGCGUGGGGAGCAAACAGGAUUAGAUACCCCGGUAGUCC
This 451-nucleotide ribosomal RNA is filed under the name uncultured bacterium. RNAcentral describes it as "bacterial SSU rRNA". It matches the Rfam family "Bacterial small subunit ribosomal RNA", at positions 354 to 796 of the family's 1533-position model. The record is from RNAcentral.